This 360-nucleotide unclassified non-coding RNA is filed under the name Hevea brasiliensis (rubber tree). Lineage: Eukaryota; Viridiplantae; Streptophyta; Magnoliopsida; Malpighiales; Euphorbiaceae. The record is from RNAcentral.
AUUAGCUUGAUUAUUCCCUCAAGCUACUGAGGAAUAUAUAUACUUAUUUCACAUACGCUAAGAAUGGAAGGAUAUAUAUUUACAUGACAUUUACAGGCACAUUUACAAUCACCAUUACGACACACAGUCGCUCCACACACAAUCUCAAUUUCAGGCACAAUUACAUCAAACAUUCUAACACUCCCUCUCAAGCUAAAGCAUACAUAUCAUAUACUCCUAGCUUGUUACAAACAUAAUCAAUAUGAGAAUCUUUAACAGAUUUAGUAAUGAUGUCUGCUAAUUGGUCGUUUAAAUUAAUGAAACUAGUAGUAAUAGAUCUUUACUCAAUUUUUAGUUUGAUAAAGUGGCAAUCCACCUCUA